Long non-coding RNA from Salvia hispanica, 460 nucleotides. RefSeq lists it as uncharacterized. NCBI's taxonomy places the organism in Eukaryota, Viridiplantae, Streptophyta, Magnoliopsida, Lamiales, Lamiaceae. The record is from RefSeq and is a predicted model, not a curated record.
UAGCAACUUGAAGAAAUAGCAACUAUAUAAACCCCAGCCUUUCCACUUCAGGAAACCCAUCACUAUCAAACAUUCUACAAAUUCUCUUCAUACACAUAUAUAGAAUAAAGGAGUACGAGGAGGGAGAGUUGCAGAGAGCUGCAGACAAUCGUAGGAUCAAGCCUACAAUCCAACAACACUUUGUUCCCACAUCAAAAGGUUAUCUCCGCAAAUUAAGGACAGAGCAAGAAAUUCAAGUUAAGGAAAAUUAAACGAACGAGGUUAAGCGGUGAUGACGAAGGGCGGUGUUGAGCAAAGAUGGCGAAUGUGUUUCAGUAUUAUAAUGCUCGGAUGAAUCGUGUCUCCAUACACGGUGUCAUUCUCUCUUGACUCUUCCGCUGCAGUGUAAAAGUUGAACUUAUGUUGUUUUGUAUUGUGUACUCUGAUAUAUUUUUCAGUCAUUCCAAUUUGAUUUCGUUCA